Marmota flaviventris (yellow-bellied marmot) is the source of this 341-nucleotide non-coding RNA. The record is from RefSeq and is a predicted model, not a curated record. NCBI's taxonomy places the organism in Eukaryota, Metazoa, Chordata, Mammalia, Rodentia, Sciuridae.
GACAUAGAUGAUCAGUUCCUGCUGGGUCCAGCCUUCCUAGUCAGCCCCGUCCUGCAGGCUAAUGCUAGAAGUGUCACUGCGUAUUUCCCUGGAGCCCGCUGGUAUGAUUACUACUCGGGUGUGGAUAUUAAUGCAAGGGGAAUGUGGAAGGACCUUGAAGCCCCUCUCAACCACAUUAACCUUCAUGUCCGUGGGGGCUACAUCCUGCCCUGGCAGGAGCCUGCACUGAACACACAAUUGAGCCGCCAGAAAUUCAUGGGCUUCAAGGUUGCUUUGGAUGAUGAGGGAUCUGCUGAGGGCUGGCUCUUUUGGGAUGAUGGGCAAAGCAUCGGUGAGUACGG